UGGUUCCGGGCGUGGUUGUAGGAGGUAAAGUUGGUCCAAGCUUUCCUUAGGUGGGCAGCGGAAGGGACCAUUCCAGAUCGAAGGAAAGGAAACCCUCCCCCCACUUUAGAGGAAGUAAAAGUCGUAACAAGGUCUCCGUUGGUGAACCAGCGGAGGGAUCAUUA
This 164-nucleotide ribosomal RNA is filed under the name Dactylonectria macrodidyma. RNAcentral's name for it is "partial 18S ribosomal RNA". It matches the Rfam family "Eukaryotic small subunit ribosomal RNA", at positions 1704 to 1831 of the family's 1831-position model. The record is from RNAcentral. Lineage: Eukaryota; Fungi; Ascomycota; Sordariomycetes; Hypocreales; Nectriaceae.